RNAcentral lists this ribosomal RNA (505 nucleotides) under uncultured bacterium. RNAcentral describes it as "partial 16S ribosomal RNA". It matches the Rfam family "Bacterial small subunit ribosomal RNA", at positions 28 to 507 of the family's 1533-position model. The record is from RNAcentral.
GACGAACGCUGGCGGCGUGCCUAAUACAUGCAAGUAGAACGCACAGUUUAUACCGUAGCUUGCUACACCAUAGACUGUGAGUUGCGAACGGGUGAGUAACGCGUAGGUAACCUGCCUGGUAGCGGGGGAUAACUAUUGGAAACGAUAGCUAAUACCGCAUAAUAUUAAUUAUUGCAAGAUAAUUAAUUGAAAGGUGCAAUUGCACCACUACCAGAUGGACCUGCGUUGUAUUAGCUAGUAGGUGAGGUAACGGCUCACCUAGGCGACGAUACAUAGCCGACCGGAGAGGGUGAUCGGCCACACUGGGACUGAGACACGGCCCAGACUCCUACGGGAGGCAGCAGUAGGGAAUCUUCGGCAAUGGACGAAAGUCUGACCGAGCAACGCCGCGUGAGUGAAGAAGGUUUUCGGAUCGUAAAGCUCUGUUGUAAGAGAAGAACGGGUGUGUGAGUGGAAAGUUCACACUGUGACGGUAUCUUACCAGAAAGGGACGGCUAACUACGUG